UACAGAGGGGGCAAGCGUUGUUCGGAAUUACUGGGCGUAAAGGGCGCGUAGGCGGUUUUCUAAGUCAGACGUGAAAUCCCCAGGCUUAACUUGGGAACUGCGUCUGAUACUGGGAGGCUUGAGUGCGGGAGAGGGAUGUGGAAUUCCAGGUGUAGCGGUGAAAUGCGUAGAUAUCUGGAGGAACACCGGUGGCGAAGGCGGCAUCCUGGGCCGACACUGACGCUGAGGCGCGAAAGCUAGGGGAGCAAACGGG
RNAcentral lists this ribosomal RNA (253 nucleotides) under uncultured bacterium. RNAcentral's name for it is "partial 16S ribosomal RNA". It matches the Rfam family "Bacterial small subunit ribosomal RNA", at positions 524 to 776 of the family's 1533-position model. The record is from RNAcentral.